Molecule: ribosomal RNA, 496 nt
Filed under: uncultured bacterium
Lineage: Bacteria
Description: partial 16S ribosomal RNA
Rfam family: Bacterial small subunit ribosomal RNA
Source: RNAcentral
AUGAACGCUGGCGGCGUGCCUAAUACAUGCACGUCGCGCGCACAGACGAGGAGCUUGCUCCUCUGACGUUAGCGGCGGACGGGUGAGUAACACGUGGAUAACCUACCUAUAAGACUGGGAUAACUUCGGGAAACCGGAGCUAAUACCGGAUAAUAUAUUGAACCGCAUGGUUCAAUAGUGAAAGACGGUUUUGCUGUCACUUAUAGAUGGAUCCGCGCCGCAUUAGCUAGUUGGUAAGGUAACGGCUUACCAAGGCCACGAUGCGUAGCCGACCUGAGAGGGUGAUCGGCCACACUGGAACUGAGACACGGUCCAGACUCCUACGGGAGGCAGCAGUAGGGAAUCUUCCGCAAUGGGCGAAAGCCUGACGGAGCAACGCCGCGUGAGUGAUGAAGGUCUUCGGAUCGUAAAACUCUGUUAUUAGGGAAGAACAAAUGUGUAAGUAACUAUGCACGUCUUGACGGUACCUAAUCAGAAAGCCACGGCUAACUACGUG